This 72-nucleotide transfer RNA is filed under the name Myotis davidii. It matches the Rfam family "tRNA". Rfam says of the family: Transfer RNA (tRNA) molecules are approximately 80 nucleotides in length. The record is from Rfam by way of RNAcentral. Lineage: Eukaryota; Metazoa; Chordata; Mammalia; Chiroptera; Vespertilionidae.
GCUGGUGUGGCUCAGUGGAUAGAGCGUCAGCCUGUGGACUGAAGGGUCCCGGGUUCGAUUCCCGGUCCAGGG